RNAcentral lists this small nuclear RNA (103 nucleotides) under Jaculus jaculus (lesser Egyptian jerboa). Lineage: Eukaryota; Metazoa; Chordata; Mammalia; Rodentia; Dipodidae. The record is from RNAcentral.
GUAAGAACUUCGGCAGUACAUAUACUAAAAUUGGAACACUACAGAGAUUAGCAUGGCCCUGUGCAAGGAUGCCAUACAAAUCUAUGAAGCGUUCCAUAUUUUU